Long non-coding RNA from Odontomachus brunneus, 585 nucleotides. RefSeq lists it as uncharacterized. The record is from RefSeq and is a predicted model, not a curated record. Lineage: Eukaryota; Metazoa; Arthropoda; Insecta; Hymenoptera; Formicidae. The transcript has 3 exons.
UACGUGAAAUAUUACACUGAUAUACAUAAGACAAAAUAGUAAAAUGAUUCGCGUUUAAAAAGACACCGAGACGAAACGUACGAUGUCACGUGACCAACAGCGGCUGUUUCAUACUAUUCCACUCUGUUUGAGUCUUCGCGUCAUCUCGCGACCACUAGUAUUUCUCGUAUCUUUUAAGCUUGAUCUACAAUGUGUUCUUUGCUUCCUAUUUCUUGUUUUCUGUAUUUUUUUAGUUUAAGGUUUAAGGCUUGAGUCAGAAAGAGAUAAAGAAAAAGUAACAGGAAGCAAAGAACACAUUAUAGAUCAAGCUUUAAUCUGUCAAAGCCGACGUCUAUCGCGUCAUGUCAGGAGAAUGGAGGGAAAUUGAGCAAGUGCACUUGUUUGUGUCGAAAAUGAUAAAUGCUUAAAAUUCGACGACUACACUACGCCUUCGUGCUUUGUACACUAGUCUUUUGGCAUCAGACACUGGUUAAGCAAUUCAAGCAACAUGGAAUUUUCUAUAGCUGCAGCUACUCGUUCUUUGUCAGCGAGCUGUUUGUUCAACGAUGCUUCUGAGACAUGACUGCCAGGAGUGAUCUCCACAGA